RNAcentral lists this ribosomal RNA (346 nucleotides) under uncultured bacterium. RNAcentral describes it as "bacterial SSU rRNA". It matches the Rfam family "Bacterial small subunit ribosomal RNA", at positions 449 to 793 of the family's 1533-position model. The record is from RNAcentral.
GUAGUUAACACCUGCAUUAUUUGACGUUACCUACAGAAGAAGCACCGGCUAACUCCGUGCCAGCAGCCGCGGUAAUACGGAGGGUGCGAGCGUUAAUCGGAAUUACUGGGCGUAAAGCGCAUGCAGGUGGUUUGUUAAGUCAGAUGUGAAAGCCCGGGGCUCAACCUCGGAAUAGCAUUUGAAACUGGCAGACUAGAGUACUGUAGAGGGGGUAGAAUUUCAGGUGUAGCGGUGAAAAUGCGUAGAGAUCUGAAGGAAUACCAGUGGCGAAGGCGGCCCCCUGGACAAAGACUGACGCUCAGAUGCGAAAGCGUGGGGAGCAAACAGGAUUAGAUACCCCUGGUAG